GCAAGUCGAACGGCAGCACGGGAGCAGUCCUGGUGGCGAGUGGCGAACGGGUGAGUAAUACAUCGGAACGUGCCCUGUCGUGGGGGAUAACUAGUCGAAAGAUUAGCUAAUACCGCAUACGACCUGAGGGUGAAAGCGGGGGACCGUAAGGCCUCGCGCGAUAGGAGCGGCCGAUGUCUGAUUAGCUAGUUGGUGGGGUAAAGGCCCACCAAGGCGACGAUCAGUAGCUGGUCUGAGAGGACGAUCAGCCACACUGGGACUGAGACACGGCCCAGACUCCUACGGGAGGCAGCAGUGGGGAAUUUUGGACAAUGGGGGCAACCCUGAUCCAGCAAUGCCGCGUGUGUGAAGAAGGCCUUCGGGUUGUAAAGCACUUUUGUCCGGAAAGAAAUCCCUUGCCCUAAUACGGCGGGGGGAUGACGGUACCGGAAGAAUAAGCACCGGCUAACUACGUGCCACCAGCCGCGGUAAUACCUAGAGGUGCGAGCGUUAAUCGGAAUUACUGGGCGUAAAGCGUGCGCAUGCGGUUUUGUAAGACAGGCGUGAAAUCCCCGAGCUCAACUUGGGAAUGGCGCUUGUGACUG
RNAcentral lists this ribosomal RNA (584 nucleotides) under uncultured Cupriavidus sp. RNAcentral's name for it is "bacterial SSU rRNA". It matches the Rfam family "Bacterial small subunit ribosomal RNA", at positions 57 to 635 of the family's 1533-position model. The record is from RNAcentral. Lineage: Bacteria; Pseudomonadati; Pseudomonadota; Betaproteobacteria; Burkholderiales; Burkholderiaceae.